AGUGAACGCUGGCGGUAGGCCUAACACAUGCCAGUCGAACGGCAGCACAGUAUGAGCUUGCUCUUACGGGUGGCGAGUGGCGGACGGGUGAGGAAUACAUCGGAAUCUACUUUUUCGUGGGGGAUAACGUAGGGAAACUUACGCUAAUACCGCAUACGACCUACGGGUGAAAGCAGGGGAUCUUCAGACCUUGCGCGAUUGAAUGAGCCGAUGUCGGAUUAGCUAGUUGGCGGGGUAAAGGCCCACCAAGGCGACGAUCCGUAGCUGGUCUGAGAGGAUGAUCAGCCACACUGGAACUGAGACACGGUCCAGACUCCUACGGGAGGCAGCAGUGGGGAAUAUUGGACAAUGGGCGCAAGCCUGAUCCAGCCAUACCGCGUGGGUGAAGAAGGCCUUCGGGUUGUAAAGCCCUUUUGUUGGGAAAGAAAAGCAGCAGGUUAAUACCCCGCUGUUCUGACGGUACCCAAAGAAUAAGCACCGGCUAACUUCGUG
RNAcentral lists this ribosomal RNA (492 nucleotides) under uncultured bacterium. RNAcentral's name for it is "partial 16S ribosomal RNA". It matches the Rfam family "Bacterial small subunit ribosomal RNA", at positions 29 to 507 of the family's 1533-position model. The record is from RNAcentral.